CCAUUUUGCACAGAGUGGCAUUUUUUGAAAAAUGUAUUGAUAGCAAUGUUGAAUAUUAUUACACAGGAUAAAAACAACUACACAUAAAAUUAUUACACCACGACGCCUCUGCCUUUCUAAAUGGAGGGACAGUAACUGCGUGUGUAUUUGUAAGCGUGUAAAACCUGAAGAUACUCAGAUUAACAGUAACAGUAUGUUGUCUCUAUCCGCGAUUGUAAAAAUUUAUCUAAUGUAAACAAUAACGUGGCGCACACGGGAAAAAAGGCACAUACCUUUGACGUUGGGUGACGAACGCCGUAUUCCUCGUCCACACGUAAACGCAAAAACUGAGUUUUCGAAAAUCUCCAACCUGGCAGGAGUUUUAAAAAAUCUCAGUUUUUGUUGAUUUGAAACGCCGUUUACGUGUGGACGAAAAAUGUCAUAUAGGCUUUUACAAGUCCACGAGCGCAAAAAAAAAAAAAAAAAAAUUAAAAGCCUCUGUAAUUAAAUAAUGGUACAGAAAUAAUGCCUCAUCUGCAUAAGAAAAAUUACCAGUACUGGGCCGGUAAGAGGGAAAUUUCUUUUGCAGUUCAUCUGAAAUGAUGCACUUGCGCUUUGGGAUCUUUUAAACAACAUUAGGUGCGUUGCUGCGCACCGGCUGUCCCGUCUGUGAGCGCACAACAAGCGCUCACAAAGCAGCAGUUCGAGGAUGACUUCAAGCACAUGGGUCCUCUGUCGGACUAUAGGAAAACCCGGACAUUUUCAUCAAUUUCGAAAAUCCCCCCUGACGCCCCGGAGAGAACGUGAAAACUGGACAUGACCGGGGAAAAGAGGACGGUUUUCAUACUUGAUUUUCCCUUUUGCCCUUUGCCUGCAUUUAUUCUCUCUUCCAUCCUCCUCAUCCCUCCCUUUCUUACUUCCGUGACUCCUGAACAGUCUGAUUGGUGUGACGGAUCACCCAGGCUUUGGCAUGGAUGGAUGCAUGGGUCAAUAUCUAUCUAAAGAGGAUUGGAGCUCAAAUGAAGGCUAGGCUACCUGAGAAAGCAGCCAACGGAGAAGAUGCUCAAA
This 1047-nucleotide long non-coding RNA is filed under the name Oreochromis niloticus (Nile tilapia). RNAcentral describes it as "lncRNA (ENSONIG00000038352.1)". The record is from RNAcentral. Lineage: Eukaryota; Metazoa; Chordata; Actinopteri; Cichliformes; Cichlidae.